AUCCAGCUGACGAGUCCUAAAUAGGGCGAAAAAAGUGUCCUGGAU
Molecule: non-coding RNA, 45 nt
Organism: Schistosoma mansoni
Lineage: Eukaryota; Metazoa; Platyhelminthes; Trematoda; Strigeidida; Schistosomatidae
Source: Rfam